ACAGCUGCGACGACGACAUGGACGACAUGACUAGUACUGAAACACCAGUAGUCGAGUGUAAUGAUGUGCCACAACCAAAUCAAAUACUGGUCUCAGCCCAACAUAUUGGCUAUGGCGUGGUCGUACCUGUAAUAUGUUUCUUUGGACUGUGUACUAACUGUGUAAACCUCGUGGUUCUCACCAGGCCAGAGAUGAAGGAGACGAUUUUCACUUACCUUACAAGUUUGGCCGCGGCUGACCUGGUGACAGUAACUAUGAUGAUGUUCAGCAGUUUGUAUCGUGGUCUGGGAAUUAAGAGCUACGGUUGGCUGGUGUUUGAUAUCUACGUUCACCUACCGAUCGCCAUCAUUAGCAGCUCAACUGGCACUCUUCUUAUCGUCGCCAUAACCUUCGAACGUUGCUUCUAUGUCAAAUGGCCCACAGUAGCGAAACGUUUCUCUAGAAAAUCGACGGCAAAGCGAGUGGUGACAGUAAUUGUUCUUUCGUCGCUUUUGUUUCACAUUCCGUUUUGUUUCAGCAUGAAGGUCGACAAAAAUUCAGUUGAAAUACAAGCUACGAAGUUCAAUAAAAGUUCCGGAUUUCUUGUAUAUAACUGGAUUAGGCUUAGCCUGUUUGGGUUUAUACCAGCAUUUCUUAUCGCUGUGAUCAAUUCUAUUUUAAUUUACGCUGUGCGACAGAUGAAAAAACUACGUCAUAAGCUGAUCGCUCAGCGCCAACUGGCCGAAGACAGGAGACAAGGUGAACAAAUACGACUGACCAUAACACUGAUUGCCAUCACGUGUAUGUUUUAUAUUGGUGAACUGCCCUCAAACAUCUUUAGCCGAAAAACAGCCACGCAUAUUUUAUUCGGCGGCAACAAAUGUAUGAUGCAUUCUCAGUUUUACAAGAUUAUGUCGUUAAUCAUAAACAUUCUGGUGACAUUACAGUAUACAUUAAACUUUGUGUUUUAUUGUGCACUCAAUAAAAAGUUUAUGAACGUGCUAAGAAAAGUCUGUCCCGGAACCAGAAGAAAGAAACGAGCUUCAUACAGACAGUCUUAUUACUCAAGUGGAAUUCCAACUAUUGCACAAGCAAGACAGUAAAUACCCGAACUUCAUGUUCUCUUAUUACUCAAGUGGAAUUCCAACCAUUGCACAAGCAAGACAGUAAAUACCCGAACUUCAUGUUCUCUUAUUACUCAAGUGGAAUUCCAACCAUUGCACAAGCAAGACAGUAAAUACCCGAACUUCAUGUUCUCUUAUUACUCAAGUGGAAUUCCAACCAUUGCACAAGCAAGACAGUAAAUACCCGAACUUCAUGUUCUCUUAUUACUCAAGUGGAAUUCCAACCAUUGCACAAGCAGGCCAAUAAAUGCCCAAACUUCAUGUUCUCUUGUUACUCAAGUGGAAUUCCAAGCAUUGCACAAGCAAGACAGUAAAUACCCGAACUUCAUGUCCUCGUAUUACUCAAGUGGAAUUCCAAGCAUUGCACAAGCAAGACAGUAAAUACCCAAACUUCAUGUCCUCUUAUUACUCAAGUGGAAUUCCAAGCAUUGCACAAGCAAGACAGUAAAUACCCGAACUUCACGUUCUCUCCUUUUUUUUUUUUAUUUACAUUUUUCACUGUUGAAGACGUGGUGGUAGAAUGAUCAUAUUGUGGUUAAGAGCUGGUUCUCUUAGCUUAAUGGCAAGAUAUUUUAUACUUAAGGAGGAAAUCUUCCCAGGAAUGGGAAAUAACGUGGAAAACAUGGAAGACAUCACAUUUGUUUAGGAAGUGGUUGGUAAUACUACUAGUGUUGUAGGUUUUAAUCGACUGAAAAAACGUUAAUGGUUAAUCGAAUAUAUCCCUGGCUGCUUUUCGGGCACGUGGACUCAUAUACCACUAGCGAGGUAUUAAUCGGAAUAAAAGAACGCUGAUGAGAAGGUGAAUCUGCUACCACUAUAUCACUAUUGUGAAAAUGUAAUGAAAAUAACAGGAAAUAAACUUCAGAUGGACUUAAAAACCAGACAGUAAAGGCACUCCAAGUAGACACCAUGACGAACCAAUAUCUCAUACAAAUGUUAAUUUUCAUCGUCUGUAUUUGUACAAUAUCGCUUCAGUGUGCAGGAAACUUAACAACAAUAUCU
Limulus polyphemus (Atlantic horseshoe crab) is the source of this 2105-nucleotide RNA transcript. It is a transcript of the gene named probable G-protein coupled receptor B0563.6, with no coding region annotated. The record is from RefSeq and is a predicted model, not a curated record. NCBI's taxonomy places the organism in Eukaryota, Metazoa, Arthropoda, Merostomata, Xiphosura, Limulidae. The transcript is spliced from 3 exons.